Molecule: long non-coding RNA, 5758 nt
Organism: Pelmatolapia mariae (spotted tilapia)
Lineage: Eukaryota; Metazoa; Chordata; Actinopteri; Cichliformes; Cichlidae
Exons: 3
Source: RefSeq, a predicted model, not a curated record
AAACACAGAUUUUAUAUAAUAUAAUAAAAUAUCCAUUAUUGAUAUGUACAUAUUUUUUAAAAUAGAAAUUAUAUAGUGGUUGAGUAAGAGUCACCUGUCCUGUGAGGCAUCUGAGAGCAUUUUUUUUUUUAAAAACAGCAAAAAAACCCCCCCAAAAAACAACAACUUGCAGAGCAUCAGGAUUCGAGCAUGUGCACGACGAACAGUAAACCACAUGAACCUCACUCAUUUACAGUUGUAGCUUUCCCCUCCCCACGGUGGCCCGAAAAGAGUUUCCUAUGGACCGACAACACAGCUGUACGCCAUUCGUCCGAUCUGAAAGACGGCUAACGGGACAAAGGGCACGAGUGAGGAGAGGGAAACGAGGGAGAGAUGCUCGCUGAAUCGCCCAGCCCACCCCUGUGCAGGACGGGGAGCACCUCUCUUCCUCUCUGCUCAUAGCUGCUUUCUCCCGGCCCUCAGCCAUUUUGGAGAGAGCAAAAAGUGGCUGCUUUCUCUCUCCCUCUCUCACUACGUGGCAUAGCUUUAGAAAGGUUUCGGCUGCUGUGUUUGUAGCAGCAGAGAAGACACACUUUGCAGCUUGCACUUUGGGAGAUAUUAUGUUUGCAGAGAAAAAAUUCUGACGCGAAAACAAAACCCUUCCAUCUCGACUUUUUAUUUUUUAAUGAAUUUUUCCUUUUUUUUCGUUUCCCUUGAAUUCAGCUGCUAAGCCUCUCUCCUCCUUGCUGUGCACUUUUCACUCAUGCUGUUUCCUUUUCUUUAAUAACUUGCGCUGUAGUUUUGGUGGCCGGUCCAAUCCCUCUUUUCUUUUUUAAAGUCAUGUUUUCUCAUCUCUCAAUUUGAUUUUUUUUUUAUGUAACAGAGUUCAAGACAAAGGGAUAUGUCCAUAUUUUGGCAGCACUAAGAAGAGACAGAGCAGCAGCCAAGGAUCCUGCUGGGAUCCAAAAAAGCCAAGCAGAAUGAAGCACCAAAAAAAAAAAAAAAAAAAAGAAAACACCACCCUUUCCUUUGCUUGGUCAGAAAUUCCACUUUCUCUGUAGCCAGCCCUGCGCUGCGACUCCUCCUCAUCCACAUCUUACCGCAUUCAACCUUUUGCCAUUUCUCUCUUGCCGUACCUUUUUUUUUAAAGCCGAUUUGAGGUUUUUGUACCCCGGAAAAUGGGGACUGGACAACGGGUUAUGAGUGCGUAACUAGGAGAGAACAAGGGGAUGUUUUCUUCUUACUUUCGGUUGUGAUUUAGCGUUUUUUUCUGCUAUUAGUGUUAUUAUUGUUGUGCUUCUUAUAGUUUUUAGUCGUUUGUAUUUUUAAGGGUGUGCUUGGAUCACCACGUGUUUGUGUGGUUUGGGGAAUGUGUGUGAACGGGUGUAUACUCCCUGUGAAUGUUAGACUUGCUGCUCUGUUCCCAAUCAGUUUGUGAUGAUUUACAUUCUGCUUUUUUUGUUGUUGUUUUGUUUUGGGUUUUUUUUACAUUUUUAUUUUAGGUUUCUUGAUUUCUCCUAAAGCGUUGGCCUACACUUCUCUUCGAGCCUGACUUCAUCUGAGUGUAGAGGACGUUUGACCACCAUGUCCAGCUUAUGCCUUACUGUCUUGCAUGUCUGAGCAGCAGACGGCUAGACGGCAGCAAUCUGCUAGAGCAGGCUCAUGUGCUAGCCCGAAUUAUCCAUUCAACAAAGCCUGCGCUAGCAGCACUAAAAUCUUCCUCUAUUCUUCUCUCCAGCAUUCAUUUUUUUCUCCCCUCUCUCUCUCCGAUUUUUUGCCCGGCUACAUCCUCUCUCCCUUUGCUAGGCUGACCGGCACAGGCGUACAGAGAAGACUGCGGCAGCCUCCGCCACCUCGGUCAGCUGGAGCUUGCUACACUCGUUGCUGCACACCGCCGCCAUCUUGUUACUGCCUGUGCUACUGGUCUGCCUGCCUUUGCUGCACUCAAACCAAAUCAUCAAACUCAGCCUGCGGUUGUUUCCAUGCCACUCCUGUUUGUGCGCAGCUUUGUCACAACACAGUGCUGCGCACGAGCUACCGGACACAUGUCGUUGCUGCACAGAAGCAGACACACCUGGAACUUUUAUCUGGGUGUUUCUUUAAUAGCUGCCACAGAUUGGAUGCUGCAGACGGUGUUGUCAGCAUCUCUCAAACCAUCAGUAAGAUCUGUACCAUUGUAAUACACACUAUGCCCGAUGUAGAUUUAGCUAAGGAUUUGACAUGCCGUACACCAUUAAAACAAGUAAAAAUAAGUGAAAUGUUAUUUUACAAAUUUACAAAUGAUUCAAAGUGGCAUGUCUUCUUUGCAGGAUUUAAGAAAAUUGCUCCCGUCGAAGAAAAUCAAUAACCACAAUCUGUCCCUUAUUCUGUGUAUAUAUUUUUCUCCAGAGCCCAUAUGCCUGAGCACAUAUACUGUAUAUGCUAUCUUUGUGAGCUUGUGUGCUGUAAAGAGAGAGUGGGAAAGAGAAAGGAGGGGAGUGAGAAAGAAAGAGAAAGAGAGAGGAAUCAAGCGUCGGUAAGAAAGUCUUCCUAAUUCUGUUUGGCAGAAACUGUGCUGUUUAACCAUAUGUGCAGAGAGCAGGCUUUGCACAUGCUCAGAAUGACUCAGAGGACACGACUUUCAUGUCUCAACGCAAUUAGAUUAACUAAUAGAUAAUUUUCCAGCAAAUAUAAAUAAGUUACAAUGAAGUCAUAAAUAAUUUAAAAAGUGUGCACUCUACCUUGAAUUAUUUUUGUUGUACUCACAGUAUGAGGUUAAAACAUGGGCAUUAGAAGGAGAGCGGGAUACAAACACAGCAAGUAUAUUCCAGCUUAUGGAAAUCUUAUUGCUGUAUUUAACCGUGCUUUGGUGAAAAACAAGUGGAAGUGUGUAGGUGGAGGCCAGAGUGAUACAGCAGUGAGUUCAGAAGGUCUUCAAUCCUCUAAGACUAUAUGCCAAGAAGACACCAUGCUAAUGAAAUCAUAAAGACGGUGAAGAAAACAAGCUGUCCCUGGAGAAUACAUCCAUGCAUCGGAGGUUGCCAGUUUUACUUUACUUGUGUCUGGGUAUACAUGUACUGUAGCUUUGCAGUGAUACUGUAUUUAUAAGGUCAAAGGCUGCUUUGCUUCAGGGUUAAAAUGCUCUCAGCCUUUAUCUUAUGAUUACCUUCAUCAGGUCAGUGAAGAUCACCCUUUGCCCCACCAGCUGAGUGGGACAGCGGGUUACAAGAGGUAUGCAAAUCACAGUAAUAUUUAUUAUGUGUAACAAGGAAGAAAAUUUAAAAAAGAAAAAGAGUUUAAAUCACUGCUGAUAUUACUAUGAAAUACAGGGUACAAUUAGAAUUAGAUAGAAAUGAUCAAGAUGCAAUUAAUGUUCAUACUUUAAAUAUUGGACAGAAAUAUGACGUUGAAUAAUUUUGGCCACUUUUAUACACAGUCCGCCAUCUUUAGGUGCUUAAAUGCAGUCGAACGAACGCUCAUUAUAAGUUGGGGGUGGUUUCAGUUACAGAACCAGCAGUUCUGGCCUAUUCAGAGAGCUCAGGUGGUGGAGCAGGUGGUGGAGCAGGUUUGGGCAGGACACUGAACCCCUAGUUGCUCUCGAUGGCAGAUGAGCUGUCUGAACACGUGUGGCCUAUAAAUGCCGAUCGUCUAAAAUUUGUACUUUUAAUACUUUGUCAGGAAUCAUUUGCAGGCAGUCUGAUUUCUGAAACCUUCGGAAAUUAAUGCUUCUGCGUUUCUUCAGUUGUUUGUUUACGCGUCUUGUCAUCAGGGAGUGAAAUUCAUACUCAGUCAGACUGAGAUUGGCCGAGAAAGUUAAAUUGUCUGCAUUGUGGUUGACUAUAAUCAAUGCUGACAUUGCUUGUUGUCCUCAUUGUGUAAGGAUGGAAUCAUUACACUGUUACCAAGUAACAGUGUAAUGAUUCUUACAAUGAUUCUUGAGUGUAUUACGUACAGAGCAAAGAAUUCGUAGUUUAUUGAGCUACCAGGUCUCACGCAGAGUUAACUUUGAAUUAAUGAUUAAAAGCAAACAAUUGUCAACUGAUAGUUUUCAUGAAUGUUAUUAAUCUAGUUUGAAAUUUCAAAUUCAGUUGGAGUUUCAGAGACUUCAGAGCAGAUCGCUGAAACAAUACCGAAGCAAUAUUGCUGCAUUUUAAAUUCAUUUUUAAAUCCAUUUUUAAAUCCGUCCAUCCAAGUCAUCUUUGGGCAAAAUGCAGGAUAUACUGUGGACUCAUUACCAGUCUAUCACAUGGCUAAUACAGAACACUUGCAGUCCAUCAGCUAAGAAUGGCUGCACAAUUAGAUCCCAUUUAGAGGAAUUAUUCACUGUCAAAAAGUCCAAUUUAUGCAGAAAGCACAUAAGAGCAAAUAUGAAUUUCUUACUGGAAGGUAAGCUCCAUACUGGAACAUCACAAUACAAGUUCAGAGAGCUUGUCCAAUGAAAUAAUUCAUUAUAAUCCAAAGUGAGCCUUCAGUCAGCUUGGGAGUUGUCCUGCUAUGUUUUUAUGAUCCAGUUAACAGAAAUAAAGCUCUCAACUCUCCGGCUUGAGUAAUGACGUAAGCAGUUAACGAUUGGAAGAAUUUCUUUUGGACAAGAGCGGAGGACGUUGAUCAUUCAGGGUCAACAAUGAGCGCCUCAUUUGUUCUUUUGUUUUCCCAUUUGUAGUAUAAAUAGAAGCAGUUCAGCCUUCAGUGGAGAGUUUGUGGAGCAUACUUACUGAGUGUCGAAUGCAAAGAUGUUGCAUUCUUUAUUAUUCCAUAUCGACUGUCCUGGAAUCCGUUACACCAUUUACCAGAAUUGCAGUCCAAAAAGUAUGUAAAUCCCAGCUGGGAAUGGGUGGAGAAUCCCAAGGUUUGUGCAUGUGACAUGAACUAUUCAUUCUUCCUCUUUUUCUGUCAAAGCAUGACUUCUUAAAAAGAGUUACAGGUGUAUCUGGGCCCACCUUAUUGUUACAUAUAUAUAAUGCACAGCUGUCAAAAGUAAAUAAAGUCAAAAUCACAAACGUCCUUUGUCAGGUGUUCACAUUUAAUUGCUCCUUCAGAAAUAAAUGCAAAAUCUUUGGAAAACAGGAUAAUCUGCUAACAAGUGCCAUUUCCUCACCCAGAGGAUCCAUACUUGAGACUUUGUUUCUCCCGGAAUAAAAUUUUUCCUCAUUUUCAGUGAGGAACCAACCAAAAACCAAAAGGUUUUGACAUUCAUUGUUCUCCCAGAAGAUGCAUCUGCAGACAAUCCCUAACUUUCUCCUCUAGUGCUACCAGCACAAUGAUGUACGGGUGUAUGUGGUUUUAAAAUUCAUAAGUCACCAAAUACUGGAUGGAUUUCCAUUAAAGUUUGUGCCAAUAUUCAUAUCCUUCAGUGUACCUGUCUGCAUUUUUUUUUUAAAGUGUCCAGUGUUCCAGUAUUUUGGCUUGCGAUUAAACAACUGCAAAGCUAGUGAUUUGCUGCAUUACUUACAUAUUGCAGUCAUGAAUAAGAGAAGAGACUAGCCUUUCCUGGUAGACUGCAGUGAAUUAUCUUCACAGCAGCAGAGUAGACAUAGAUUGCAUGACAUGGUGCAGUUUGCACAUGGAAUGCAGAAAGAUUUCAGGCACUGAGUGAUGAAGGCCAGAUGUUUGAGUUAUGCAUAGGAAGUCAGUGGUCUACAGUUGCUACCGGGUACUGUAUGAAACGAUGAUGCCAGAAACCAUCGCCGGCAUAUACCAUGUAAUUAAAUUUAAGGAAACCCACUCACAUAUUACAGCUUGUAUAUAAAAGCAAUACAUGUUCCAGGUUUGAAAAAAACAGACAUCAAAAAACAUUACA